UAGUAGUCAGAGAUAUCCGAGUUCAUUGAAAGUUGAAUAACCGACAUUAAACGGCCCCAGAAGCGGGCGGCGGCCGCCUUGUAAUUCCCCUUUAAAGUGAAAUGCAGUUUACAGUGAUUACGAAGGAAAAAGAGAAAGAGAGAGAGAGAGAGGGAGAGAGAAGCGCGCGGCAGCAAUUAAAUAGUACGUCUCUGAUGUUGCUACUUAUUAUUAAACUCGCGAGCGAGUGAGCGAGUCAACCAGUUGACUUUAAACCACACGAUAAAUUAGUCUUACAGUGAAUUACGCCCAAAUAUAUAACACGUGCGAAACCCAGAACUGGAAUGUCUCAUGAUAUGAUCAAGGCCAAAACAAUUUUACGCUCUCCUCGUCGCAACACAUGCCGCAUUAAAAAGUGACAAUCCCAAUGGUGCAGGCAACAGAUCUUUUCACAAAAGAGAUUUCAUCGGAAAAACUGUGAAGAUGACUUCACGAUCUGAAAGAGGUUAAAGUAUGACUCGACGUGAUUUGAAGUUACGUGAGUACGGCUAAAUGCGUAUGCUGUUUGUGUUAUAUGGCUGCUUCUUGUACGUCCUUCGGGAAAAAAGGAAAGACACAAAAGAGAUGACGACGAAAAAAAAAAAAAAACAACAGCAGAACCGCCGACAGAUAUGGAGGUAAAUACAGCAAUAGCAGCAGCCGCAGCAGCAGAGACUUGUAUUGUGGAAUUAUAAUGUAUCACAAUACCUAUAAGAAAUUCGGGAGUUUCAAUGUAAACAACUCGUCUUCGACUCAACACCGCGGCGACAUCGAAAAUACGCAUACACGUAACGUGUAUACAUGUGUGUGCUAUCAGAACCUCAAUUGUUAAGCAACUGAAAUUUUGAGAUUCUUCGACAAAACGCCUUAGCAGUAACCUUUCGUGGCUACAGAUAGGCGAUAAAAUAUCUCGUUGGCACAUUUGAAGAGGUGAUUUGGAAAAUGUUAUAAUAUAUAUUUAAAAAGUGUCUGUAUUGUGAAAAUUAUUCUGCAAUUUUUUCUUAAUUGUUCCUUGAAUAUCAAAUCGCACAAAUGUCAUCAUUCAAGACCCCCACCGCUGCGGUUUGCAGGGACGAAUUCAGACGAACCAUAUAUAUAGUAUAUAUAUAGGAAAAGUCUUACGGAGUAUUUUCUCACGCUAAUAACGAACUGAUCUCGAGAUUUGUAGCAAUAAAUCGUAACUCUACAAAAUAAUAGAGGUCCCUGACAACGGUGCAAGUACAACACGGUGCUAGCUGAACAGAAAAUGAGAUUUUCAAAUCUACAGCAGGUAUUAUUACGCAUAUCAUUAUACUCAGGUAUGUAUAAAGGUAUGACUGAUAUUCUCUCAUCGUCAACAGUCAUAAUAACUAACAAUGAGUUAUUAUAUAUAGAACGGAUUGUCAUUCGGAUUGUGGUAGCGGUCACCACGCCGAAACUCUCACCC
RNAcentral lists this long non-coding RNA (1444 nucleotides) under Neodiprion lecontei (redheaded pine sawfly). RNAcentral's name for it is "uncharacterized LOC124295359, transcript variant X3". The record is from RNAcentral. Lineage: Eukaryota; Metazoa; Arthropoda; Insecta; Hymenoptera; Diprionidae.